AUCAUCAUCAUCAUUUGGACCUUCUCUUCUCUCCCUCACCUGCCUCCGAUCUCACUCUUUCUCUCUGCACAAACAUUAUGCUUGUGAUCUCCGACAAGAUCUCGAGCUUUUCCAACUAAGGUGUAUUGGUGGGAAGUGACUCCAUCCUCGCUAGUUCGAGCGGCUUUCUGGUAGUGGAAUACUUGUGAGUGGACCCCUUCUUAAUUGCAUUUUUUAUUUAUAAAAUAUUAGGUUUGCAUGCAUUUCAUAU
This is a non-coding RNA of Malus domestica (apple), 250 nucleotides long. The record is from RefSeq and is a predicted model, not a curated record. Lineage: Eukaryota; Viridiplantae; Streptophyta; Magnoliopsida; Rosales; Rosaceae.